CAGUCGUACGCUUCUUUUUCCCCGGAGCUUGCUCCACCGGAAAAAGAAGAGUGGCGAACGGGUGAGUAACACGUGGGUAACCUGCCCAUCAGAAGGGGAUAACACUUGGAAACAGGUGCUAAUACCGUAUAACAAUCGAAACCGCAUGGUUUUGAUUUGAAAGGCGCUUUCGGGUGUCGCUGAUGGAUGGACCCGCGGUGCAUUAGCUAGUUGGUGAGGUAACGGCUCACCAAGGCCACGAUGCAUAGCCGACCUGAGAGGGUGAUCGGCCACAUUGGGACUGAGACACGGCCCAAACUCCUACGGGAGGCAGCAGUAGGGAAUCUUCGGCAAUGGACGAAAGUCUGACCGAGCAACGCCGCGUGAGUGAAGAAGGUUUUCGGAUCGUAAAACUCUGUUGUUAGAGAAGAACAAGGAUGAGAGUAACUGUUCAUCCCUUGACGGUAUCUAACCAGAAAGCCACGGCUAACUACGUGCCAGCAGCCGCGGUAAUACGUAGGUGGCAAGCGUUGUCCGGAUUUAUUGGGCGUAAAGCGAGCGCAGGCGGUUUCUUAAGUCUGAUGUGAAAGCCCCCGGCUCAACCGGGGAGGGUCAUUGGAAACUGGGAGACUUGAGUGCAGAAGAGGAGAGUGGAAUUCCAUGUGUAGCGGUGAAAUGCGUAGAUAUAUGGAGGAACACCAGUGGCGAAGGCGGCUCUCUGGUCUGUAACUGACGCUGAGGCUCGAAAGCGUGGGGAGCAAACAGGAUUAGAUACCCUGGUAGUCCACGCCGUAAACGAUGAGUGCUAAGUGUUGGAGGGUUUCCGCCCUUCAGUGCUGCAGCUAACGCAUUAAGCACUCCGCCUGGGGAGUACGACCGCAAGGUUGAAACUCAAAGGAAUUGACGGGGGCCCGCACAAGCGGUGGAGCAUGUGGUUUAAUUCGAAGCAACGCGAAGAACCUUACCAGGUCUUGACAUCCUUUGACCACUCUAGAGAUAGAGCUUCCCCUUCGGGGGCAAAGUGACAGGUGGUGCAUGGUUGUCGUCAGCUCGUGUCGUGAGAUGUUGGGUUAAGUCCCGCAACGAGCGCAACCCUUAUUGUUAGUUGCCAUCAUUCAGUUGGGCACUCUAGCAAGACUGCCGGUGACAAACCGGAGGAAGGUGGGGAUGACGUCAAAUCAUCAUGCCCCUUAUGACCUGGGCUACACACGUGCUACAAUGGGAAGUACAACGAGUCGCGAAGUCGCGAGGCUAAGCUAAUCUCUUAAAGCUUCUCUCAGUUCGGAUUGUAGGCUGCAACUCGCCUACAUGAAGCCGGAAUCGCUAGUAAUCGCGGAUCAGCACGCCGCGGUGAAUACGUUCCCGGGCCUUGUACACACCGCCCGUCACACCACGAGAGUUUUAACACCCGAAGUCGGUGAG
RNAcentral lists this ribosomal RNA (1401 nucleotides) under Enterococcus durans. RNAcentral describes it as "bacterial SSU rRNA". It matches the Rfam family "Bacterial small subunit ribosomal RNA", at positions 59 to 1434 of the family's 1533-position model. Lineage: Bacteria; Bacillati; Bacillota; Bacilli; Lactobacillales; Enterococcaceae. The record is from RNAcentral.